This 76-nucleotide transfer RNA is filed under the name Campylobacteraceae bacterium. RNAcentral's name for it is "tRNA-Thr". It matches the Rfam family "tRNA". From Rfam's summary of the family: Transfer RNA (tRNA) molecules are approximately 80 nucleotides in length. Their secondary structure includes four short double-helical elements and three loops (D, anti-codon, and T loops). RNAcentral also lists the same sequence under 2 other names. The record is from RNAcentral. Lineage: Bacteria; Pseudomonadati; Campylobacterota; Epsilonproteobacteria; Campylobacterales; Campylobacteraceae.
GCUGGUGUAGCUCAGUUGGUAGAGCAGCUGCCUUGUAAGCAGCCGGUCGGCGGUUCAAGUCCGUUCACCAGCUCCA